Exophiala spinifera is the source of this 72-nucleotide transfer RNA. It matches the Rfam family "tRNA". Rfam says of the family: Transfer RNA (tRNA) molecules are approximately 80 nucleotides in length. Their secondary structure includes four short double-helical elements and three loops (D, anti-codon, and T loops). The record is from Rfam. NCBI's taxonomy places the organism in Eukaryota, Fungi, Ascomycota, Eurotiomycetes, Chaetothyriales, Herpotrichiellaceae.
AGCAACGUGGCGCAGCGGAAGCGCGCCGGGCUCAUAACCCGGAGGACCUCCGAUCGAAACGGAGCGUUGCUA